GAUUGCUUGUGUACAAGAGAAGAUGAUCAUCAAGAAGUAGGGUUUGGAAUUUUAUUUCAAGGCGUAUAAACUGAUCCUGAUUGAUCAACCUGACAUUCUUAUCAAACUCGAUCGACGUCUUCACCUUCUUUCUUAAGGAAGCAACCGGAACUGUAAGUCACUUUAAUUAUUAAUUAUAUAUAUUAUGGAUGCUCGUCAUCUGAUGGACUUGUAUUUAGAUGGAAGUUGUUUUUGUAGAA
This 239-nucleotide long non-coding RNA is filed under the name Aquilegia coerulea. Its description in RNAcentral is "long non-coding RNA (ACOE_LNC000092)". The record is from RNAcentral. Lineage: Eukaryota; Viridiplantae; Streptophyta; Magnoliopsida; Ranunculales; Ranunculaceae.